GAUAUUCUAACAAGAGAGCCAGCUGAUGCAUACAUUUCAAUAGCGUAAGAUCGAUCUUUGAAACGAAUAGAACGAAUGUUCAUGAAUAGAAUUUGAAGGAAAUUAAAAAGAAAACGAAUGAGACACACACGAAAGGUUCCCUUCUACGAAUUGACUUUGAUUGACGGGAAUGUGCAUUUUCGAAGGCUAACAGAUCUGAGGAUAGACUUUCUCUCCGCCAAGACAUGUCUUUUCUCAGCAGAUAUGGAACAGAUGAAAAGCACGUGUUUGCUAACGAUCGACUUGAAAAUUUGUCGCUUGCAUUGCUUUAAAUAUCUAGAGAUAGAUCCAAUAUAUCUUCUCAAUCUUAGUUGCAUCAGAAGACCUGGAAGGUUCUGGAGAAACUUGACUAGACGAAGAAGCGAUCGAUCUGUCUAGCCGUUCGUAUAUUUCCGCAAGUUCAAUGCGAAGAACGAGAGAGGAAAGAAGCUUCGUUUGAGCGCAUUCUCAUUCAUCAGUAAUCGAACAAUUGCGGUGCGGAAUCGCAAUUGUUGAAGAAGCACCUACUGAUAACGGGGGUUAUCGGCGCCGGCUAUUAUAGCGUUUUACGGUAUUCUGCGUCAAACAUACAUCCCUCGAUUAAGUCAAUUGAGUCGAGUAAACCGAUGCAAUUAUACGAUUUAAGCUCGUACUUUCACCUUUGAACUCGCGUGUUUAAAUCGAUCCUCUUCACGUGUCUCCGAUGCGUCGUCGUGAACCUACAUAACUCUCGUACGGUAAACCCGUCCUUUGCGAUCUAUAUUUAGCUGUAAAUACUAUAUAGCUAUGUAGUUCAUUUAUCUAUCGUUCAUAUAUCUUUGAGAUCUCUUUAUAUUCACAUCCAUUCUUUCCUCGUUAUUUGAAUUAUAAACAGAUAUAUGUCUAUAAAGUCCCAAAACUCGUGAAGAAUGUCUUCUUAGUAA
Camponotus floridanus (Florida carpenter ant) is the source of this 941-nucleotide long non-coding RNA. RefSeq lists it as uncharacterized. The transcript has 3 exons. Lineage: Eukaryota; Metazoa; Arthropoda; Insecta; Hymenoptera; Formicidae. The record is from RefSeq and is a predicted model, not a curated record.